GGGCGAUUAGCUCAGCUGGGAGAGCACCUGCCUUACAAGCAGGGGGUCGCAAGUUCGAUCCUUGCAUCGCCCA
RNAcentral lists this transfer RNA (73 nucleotides) under Leptospiraceae bacterium. RNAcentral describes it as "tRNA-Val". It matches the Rfam family "tRNA". Rfam says of the family: Transfer RNA (tRNA) molecules are approximately 80 nucleotides in length. RNAcentral also lists the same sequence under 1 other name. The record is from RNAcentral. Lineage: Bacteria; Pseudomonadati; Spirochaetota; Leptospiria; Leptospirales; Leptospiraceae.